GUACUUGCUUUGGCAGCACAUACACUAAAAUUGGAACAAUACAGAGAUGAUAAGCAUGGCCCCUGUGCAAGGAUGACACUCAAAUUUGUGAGGCGUUCCAUGUUUUU
Molecule: small nuclear RNA, 107 nt
Organism: Loxodonta africana (African savanna elephant)
Lineage: Eukaryota; Metazoa; Chordata; Mammalia; Proboscidea; Elephantidae
Source: Ensembl